GGAGUGGUGGUUCAGUGGUAGAAUUCUCGCCUUCUUUGCAGGAGACCCAGGUUUGAUUCCUGGCCAAUGCA
Molecule: transfer RNA, 71 nt
Filed under: Loxodonta africana (African savanna elephant)
Lineage: Eukaryota; Metazoa; Chordata; Mammalia; Proboscidea; Elephantidae
Rfam family: tRNA
About the family: Transfer RNA (tRNA) molecules are approximately 80 nucleotides in length. Their secondary structure includes four short double-helical elements and three loops (D, anti-codon, and T loops). Further hydrogen bonds mediate the characteristic L-shaped molecular structure. tRNAs have two regions of fundamental functional importance: the anti-codon, which is responsible for specific mRNA codon recognition, and the 3' end, to which the tRNAs corresponding amino acid is attached (by aminoacyl-tRNA synthetases). tRNAs cope with the degeneracy of the genetic code in two manners: having more than one tRNA (with a specific anti-codon) for a particular amino acid; and 'wobble' base-pairing, i.e. permitting non-standard base-pairing at the 3rd anti-codon position.
Source: Rfam by way of RNAcentral